Molecule: non-coding RNA, 592 nt
Organism: Xyrichtys novacula (pearly razorfish)
Lineage: Eukaryota; Metazoa; Chordata; Actinopteri; Labriformes; Labridae
Source: the annotation of a GenBank genome assembly
UUAAAAAGGUUGUGUGGAUUUCCUUUAUUGUUGAAGAAGAGAGGAGGGAUGUGCACAACAGGAAUAAUGCGUUACAGUUCGAAACAAACCUGCAGUAAAAGUGACAUGAGAAUAAACGUGAUUCUUCAAUGUGCAGAAAUCCGGCGUUAGGAGGAUCAUCUCUUGGCAUUCACCGCGUGCCUUAAUUGUAAGACAUUAAAUCAAGGUCCGCUGUGAACACGGAGAGACACAACCCGCUCGUCUGUGUGUGUGCAAGUGUGUGUAGGUGUGUGUUUGCAUGCAAGUGUGUGAGCUCUUCUGUGGGGAACAGGCAUACACGUCGAACUCAUAUAAUUUGACACUUUUUUUUUUUUUAAGAUUUGAAGCAAAAAAUCUGCACCAGGAUGUCAAGUGUGGCCAAAAAGUAAAUAUAGAAGAAUCCACAGAUUUCCCGCACGUGUCCAAAGAGAUCAAAUCCUCUCCCGGUUGUUGUGCAGGCCUACAUUAUUAUGUUUAAACACAUUUAAUAUGGAGCUUAGCUUAUGUGACCGAGAGGGAGGCUAUUUGCGUGCAAAAUGAUUAUACGUCCAAGUGGGAAAAAUGACUCCGUGUG